GAUGAAGAACGUAGCAAAAUGCGAUACUUGGUGUGAAUUGCAGAAUCCCGUGAACCAUCGAGUUUUUGAACGCAAGUUGCGCCCGAAGCCUUUUGGCCGAGGCACGUCUGCCUGGGCGUCACGCAUCGCGUCGCCCCCCACAAAUUCUCCGUCAGGGGAGCUUGUGUUUCGGGGGCGGAUACUGGUCUCCCGUGCUCAUGGCGCGGUUGGCCGAAAUAGGAGUCCCUUCGAUGGACGCACGAACUAGUGGUGGUCGUAAAAACCCUCGUCUUUUGUUUCGUGCCGUUAGUCGCGAGGGAAGCUCUUCAAAAACCCCAACGCGUCGUCUCUUGACGGCGCUUCGACCGCGACCCCAGGUCAGGCGGGACUACCCGCUGAGUUUAAGCAUAUCAAUAAGCGGAGGA
RNAcentral lists this unclassified non-coding RNA (404 nucleotides) under soil metagenome. RNAcentral's name for it is "partial contains 5.8S ribosomal RNA, internal transcribed spacer 2, and large subunit ribosomal RNA". The stretch from base 1 to 121 matches the Rfam family "5.8S ribosomal RNA", at positions 35 to 154 of the family's 154-position model. The record is from RNAcentral.